Molecule: ribosomal RNA, 252 nt
Filed under: uncultured bacterium
Lineage: Bacteria
Description: partial 16S ribosomal RNA
Rfam family: Bacterial small subunit ribosomal RNA
Source: RNAcentral
UACGGAGGAUGCGAGCGUUAUCCGGAUUUAUUGGGUUUAAAGGGUGCGUAGGCGGACGCUUAAGUCAGCGGUAAGAUUGCGGGGCUCAACCUCGUCGAGCCGUUGAAACUGGGUGCCUUGAGUGGGCGAGAAGUACGCGGAAUGCGUGGUGUAGCGGUGAAAUGCAUAGAUAUCACGCAGAACUCCGAUUGCGAAGGCAGCGUACCGGCGCCCAACUGACGCUGAAGCACGAAGGCGUGGGUAUCGAACAGG